This 730-nucleotide ribosomal RNA is filed under the name uncultured archaeon. RNAcentral's name for it is "bacterial SSU rRNA". It matches the Rfam family "Archaeal small subunit ribosomal RNA", at positions 78 to 791 of the family's 1478-position model. The record is from RNAcentral.
GCGGCGUACAGCUCAGUAACACGUGGCUAACCUGCCCUUGGGACAGAGACAACCCCGGGAAACUGGGGCUAAUCCCUGAUAGGUGAAGAACUCUGGAAUGAGUCUCCGCCUAAAAGACGCUUACAUCAUGCUUGUAGGCGCCGCCCAAGGAUGGGGCCGCGACCGAUCAGGUUGUUGGUGAGGUAACGGCUCACCAAGCCAUUUACCGGUACGGGCCGUGAGAGCGGGAGCCCGGAGAUGGGCACUGAGACAAGGGCCCAGGCCCUACGGGGCGCAGCAGUCGCGCAAACUCUGCAAUACACGAAAGUGUGACAGGGCUAUCCCGAGUGCCGCCCGCUGAGGGUGGCUUUUACUCAGUAUAUCAAGCUGAGAGAAUAAGGAGAGGGCAAGACUGGUGUCAGCCGCCGCGGUAAUACCAGCUCUCCGAGUGGUGUGGAUGUUUAUUGGGCCUAAAGCAUCCGUAGCUGGCUGAACAAGUCCUCUGUUAAACCCAACGAAUCAAUCGUUGGAUCGCGGGGGAUACUGCUCGGCUUGGGGGCGAGAGAGGCAGACGGUAUUUUCGGGGUAGGAGUGAAAUCCUAUAAUCCCGGGAAGACCACCAGUGGCGAAGGCUGUCUGCUAGAACGCGCCCGACGGUGAGGGAUGAAAGCUGGGGUAGCGAACCGGAUUAGAUACCCGGGUAGUCCCAGCUGUAAACUAUGCAGGCUAGGUGUUUGGGCGGCCACGUGCC